Molecule: long non-coding RNA, 904 nt
Organism: Ictalurus punctatus (channel catfish)
Lineage: Eukaryota; Metazoa; Chordata; Actinopteri; Siluriformes; Ictaluridae
Source: Ensembl
CUUUAAUUUUUCCCUCUUUCUUUCUUUCUUUCUUUCUUUCUUUUUUCUUUCUUAUAUACCUAUUUCUCCAUGUUAACACUCAGGGCUCCAUGCAGGAAUUGUGCUCUUGCUCCUCUGCACGGUUUCCAUGGAAACCUAAAGCAGCAAUUGGGCUCUAAAAAUAGUGUCGUUAUCAGUGUAAAAUCUGGAGGCACCUAUUUAUGUAUUCGGUGCAUGAAUGAAGAAUUAAAGUGUUCUCGGCAUGGAGGAGCGGCCCAGCAUGAGGUAUGGAAAGAUAACCAUCAAUCAGUUGUCAAUUGGUCAAUUGCAGAAGUGAUGAAAAGAAAAGGAUGGAAAAAUCCUCUCUCUCUCUGCAGUUACCUAGAGGAGAGCGGGAAUGAGUGAAAACAUGGAGGCUGGAGUGAGAAAAAUGGAGGGGAUCCAGAGCACAGAUGCGCGCAGAGAGAGAAUGAGAAAGCGAAAGAGAGAGGAAGCGGAGAGAGAGCGGGCAGCGGAGCGCGGCUUGGCCGGGAGAGGAGCACCGGAGGGCGGCUACGGCUCACAGGAUUCCCCGUUGUACCAGUGGAGGAUGUUUAAUGGAUGCUCCGUGCUGACGGUAAAAUAUGCUAAUUAUAUAUAGGCUAUAUAUGCGGAAUAUAACAAAGCGCAUAGGCUACUACACUACUGAAUAUACAUACAGCCGAAUUAACGAAUAUAACAUUUACUAUUAAACAUAAUAUACACUUCCUGUAAACGCUGAUUUCAUUCUGUUAUUUGGGAAAGUUGCUGAUGUUUGCUUUAGCCUAACCUUUACUCUGUUUUAUAUUCCAUACCGUUAUGACAUCUAUAUUGUGUAGAUAAUUGUAAUAAUAUCAUAAAUAGCUUAUGGCUCAAAUAGGCUAACAAUUAGAAUUUCAAUUGUAAU